UGGCGGCAGGCUUAACACAUGSAAGUCSAGCGGAAACGAUGAUAGCUUGCUAUCAGGCGUCGAGCGGCGGACGGGUGAGUAAUACUUAGGAAUCUACCUAGUAGUGGGGGAUAGCACGGGGAAACUCGUAUUAAUACCGCAUACGACCUACGGGAGAAAGGGGGCAGUUUACUGCUCUCGCUAUUAGAUGAGCCUAAGUCGGAUUAGCUAGAUGGUGGGGUAAAGGCCUACCAUGGCGACGAUCUGUAGCUGGUCUGAGAGGAUGAUCAGCCACACCGGGACUGAGACACGGCCCGGACUCCUACGGGAGGCAGCAGUGGGGAAUAUUGGACAAUGGGGGAAACCCUGAUCCAGCCAUGCCGCGUGUGUGAAGAAGGCCUUUUGGUUGUAAAGCACUUUAAGCAGUGAAGAAGACUCCAUGGUUAAUACCCAUGGACGAUGACAUUAGCUGCAGAAUAAGCACCGGCUAACUCUGUGCCAGCAGCCGCGGUAAUACAGAGGGUGCAAGCGUUAAUCGGAAUUACUGGGCGUAAAGGGAGCGUAGGUGGCUCUAUAAGUCAGAUGUGAAAUCCCCGGGCUUAACCUGGGAACUGCAUCUGAAACUGUAGAGCUAGAGUAUGUGAGAGGAAGGUAGAAUUCCAGGUGUAGCGGUGAAAUGCGUAGAGAUCUGGAGGAAUACCGAUGGCGAAGGCAGCYUUCUGGCAUAAUAC
This 710-nucleotide ribosomal RNA is filed under the name Psychrobacter sp. RNAcentral's name for it is "bacterial SSU rRNA". It matches the Rfam family "Bacterial small subunit ribosomal RNA", at positions 37 to 740 of the family's 1533-position model. The record is from RNAcentral. Lineage: Bacteria; Pseudomonadati; Pseudomonadota; Gammaproteobacteria; Moraxellales; Moraxellaceae.